GGCUUAACACAUGCAAGUCGAACGGGCGUAGCAAUACGUCAGUGGCAGACGGGUGAGUAACGCGUGGGAACGUACCUUUUGGUUCGGAACAACUGAGGGAAACUUCAGCUAAUACCGAAUAAGCCCUUACGGGGAAAGAUUUAUCGCCGAAAGAUCGGCCCGCGUCUGAUUAGCUUGUUGGUGAGGUAACGGCUCACCAAGGCGACGAUCAGUAGCUGGUCUGAGAGGAUGAUCAGCCACAUUGGGACUGAGACACGGCCCAAACUCCUACGGGAGGCAGCAGUGGGGAAUAUUGAACAAUGGGCGAAAGCCUGAUCCAGCCAUGCCGCGUGAGUGAUAAGGCCCUAGGGUUGUAAAGCUC
This 361-nucleotide ribosomal RNA is filed under the name uncultured organism. Its description in RNAcentral is "bacterial SSU rRNA". It matches the Rfam family "Bacterial small subunit ribosomal RNA", at positions 45 to 433 of the family's 1533-position model. The record is from RNAcentral.